RNAcentral lists this small RNA (156 nucleotides) under Arabidopsis thaliana (thale cress). RNAcentral describes it as "ATSL217730". Lineage: Eukaryota; Viridiplantae; Streptophyta; Magnoliopsida; Brassicales; Brassicaceae. The record is from RNAcentral.
UGUUUGCAAGUUAACCCUCCACCUCAAAUAAAUACACGUCAAUAUCACAAUCUCAAAAGUCACCCGCAAUAUAACCUAUAGACGUGUAUAAAUUUUGCAAACCGUAUAAGUCAGUAUAUAUGUUAUCAAAACUACGUCGUUUUGAACAUUUUUAUU